CAGAAAGUAGUUUAAUUAAAAAUAUUAGUUUUGGGGGCUAGAGUUGGGUUUCUCCUUUCUGA
Molecule: transfer RNA, 62 nt
Filed under: Hymenocera picta
Lineage: Eukaryota; Metazoa; Arthropoda; Malacostraca; Decapoda; Palaemonidae
Description: tRNA-Pro
Source: RNAcentral